AUUGAACGCUGGCGGCAUGCUUUACACAUGCAAGUCGAACGGCAGCGGGGAGGAGCUUGCUUCUCUGCCGGCGAGUGGCGAACGGGUGAGUCAUACAUCGGAACGUGUCGAGAAGAGGGGGAUAACCACCCGAAAGGGUGGCUAAUACCGCAUAAAUUCUGAGGAAGAAAGCUGGGGACCUAGGAAUAGGCCUAGCGCUUUUUGAGCGGCCGAUGUCGGAUUAGCUAGUUGGUGAGGUAAAGGCUCACCAAGGCGAAGAUCUGUAGCGGGUCUGAGAGGAUGAUCCGCCACACUGGGACUGAGACACGGCCCAGACUCCUACGGGAGGCAGCAGUGGGGAAUUUUGGACAAAGGGGGCAACCCUGAUCCAGCCAUGCCGCGUGUAUGAAGAAGGCCUUAGGGUUGUAAAGUACUUUUGUUAGGGAAGAAAAGUCAGCUGUGAAUAAUGGCUGAUACUGACGGUACCUAAAGAAUAAGCACCGGCUAACUACGUG
This 494-nucleotide ribosomal RNA is filed under the name uncultured bacterium. Its description in RNAcentral is "partial 16S ribosomal RNA". It matches the Rfam family "Bacterial small subunit ribosomal RNA", at positions 30 to 507 of the family's 1533-position model. The record is from RNAcentral.